GGUGCAUGGUAGACCGACCGCUCGAUCCAUAGAUUCAAGGGCGCGGUCCAUGGGAAUAGUUUCACGGUGCACGACGUGGCUCACAGGUGGGUGGAAGGUUUUUUGCACGAUCUGAUGGCUUAAAAUGAUUCUGAGGGAGAUCGAACGGUCCACAUUCAUUGCCGAUUGAAAAGAAAGAUUUUUUAGUACAAUCAGAUGGCCAAAACUCGAUCCAUUUCUCGAUCCAAUGGCUGUUAUCGUAUCGACUGAGAAUAGAAAGAAAAUUAUGCAAUCCAACAGCCAGAA
This 285-nucleotide long non-coding RNA is filed under the name Elaeis guineensis (African oil palm). RNAcentral describes it as "long non-coding RNA (EGUI_LNC027123)". Lineage: Eukaryota; Viridiplantae; Streptophyta; Magnoliopsida; Arecales; Arecaceae. The record is from RNAcentral.